Molecule: transfer RNA, 71 nt
Filed under: Lepidurus apus apus
Lineage: Eukaryota; Metazoa; Arthropoda; Branchiopoda; Notostraca; Triopsidae
Description: tRNA-Val
Rfam family: tRNA
About the family: Transfer RNA (tRNA) molecules are approximately 80 nucleotides in length.
Source: RNAcentral
CAGAGUAUAGCUAAAUAGUUGAGCGUUUCAUUUACACUGAAUUAAUUUCUGUGCAAUUCAGAAUAGUCUGA